RNAcentral lists this microRNA precursor (71 nucleotides) under Paramuricea clavata. Lineage: Eukaryota; Metazoa; Cnidaria; Anthozoa; Malacalcyonacea; Plexauridae. The record is from RNAcentral.
UGUGUAUUACGUGCGGAAAUUGUUACCAUUUUCGGCUCAAAAAUGGUAACAAUUUCCGCACGUAAUACAAA